Molecule: ribosomal RNA, 471 nt
Filed under: uncultured bacterium
Lineage: Bacteria
Description: partial 16S ribosomal RNA
Rfam family: Bacterial small subunit ribosomal RNA
Source: RNAcentral
GACGAACGCUGGCGGCGUGCUUAACACAUGCAAGUCGAACGAUGAAGCGGUGCUUGCACCGUGGAUUAGUGGCGAACGGGUGAGUAAUACGUGAGUGACCUACCUUUGACUCUGGGAUAAGCCUGGGAAACUGGGUCUAAUACCGGAUACGACCAAUCUCUGCAUGGGGUGUUGGUGGGAAGCGUUAUGGAGUGGUUUUAGAUGGGCUCACGGCCUAUCAGCUUGUUGGUGAGGUAAUGGCUGACCAAGGCGACGACGGGUAGCCGGCCUGAGAGGGUGACCGGCCACACUGGGACUGAGACACGGCCCAGACUCCUACGGGAGGCAGCAGUGGGGAAUAUUGCACAAUGGGCGCAAGCCUGAUGCAGCGACGCCGCGUGAGGGAUGACGGCCUUCGGGUUGUAAACCUCUGUUAGCAUCGAAGAAGCGAAAGUGACGGUAGGUGCAGAGAAAGCGCCGGCUAACUACGUG